Molecule: ribosomal RNA, 777 nt
Filed under: uncultured Neocallimastigales
Lineage: Eukaryota; Fungi; Neocallimastigomycota; Neocallimastigomycetes; Neocallimastigales
Description: partial large subunit ribosomal RNA
Rfam family: Eukaryotic large subunit ribosomal RNA
Source: RNAcentral
AGAGAUGUGUGAUGACGCAUAUCAAUAAGCGGAGGAAAAGAAACUAACAAGGAUUCCCUUAGUAACGGCGAGUGAAGCGGGAAGAGCUCAAAUUUGAAAUCUUCAAGGUUCUACCUUGACGAAUUGUAGUUUAUAGAAGUGUUUUCUGUUAGUGGAGUGGCAAAAGUUCUUUGGAAUAGGACAUCAUAGAGGGUGAGAAUCCCGUAUUUGGUCAUUCCUUCUAGCGUUGUGAUACACUUUCAAAGAGUCGGAUUGUUUGGGAAUGCAGUCCAAAAUGGGUGGUAAAUUUCAUCUAAAGCUAAAUAUUGGCGAGAGACCGAUAGCGAACAAGUACCGUGAGGGAAAGAUGAAAAGAACUUUGAAAAGAGAGUUAAACAGUACGUGAAAUUGUCAAAAGGGAGGCGUUUGACACCAGUGUUGUUUUUCCGAAAAUCAAUUAAGAAUGUUUUAUUUUUGAAGAGUUAUGACUUCAUCGGCUUGCUCCUUUCUUUACGAAACUUUCUUAAUGCACUUUCGGUUAACAAGUCAACAUCAAUUUCUUUUGUUGUAAAAGGGUACUGAGGAAGGUGGCUUUCUUUUCGGAGAAAGUGUUUAUAGCCUUGUACCUCUGCAAUCGGAGAGAUUGAGGUCUGCAGCGUAGAUCCUUCGGGAUUAGAUACAUUUGUGCUAAGUUAUAGCUUUUCAUAGACAACAUUGUUGACUAUGAUUUAAUCAUUGUAGCUUACUCGCUUAUGCUAUUUUACCUACGCUUAGGAUGUUGAAGAUGUAGCACAUCAU